UUUUUUAAAUUCCACGUGUCUCAUUUUGAUUGGUCAUUCAUUAAACCUGACCCAAAAUUAUUUUUACCCGUCCCUAUCCGACGCUCCGACCCAGCCUGACUGACUCGACCCAUCAGAGCCAUCGGGAAUGGAAUCUCAUCAAACUCGAACGCUCUACCUGAGCAGACCUCUCUAGCAAUGGAUUCUUGUUGAACACAACAGUGAUUGGAGACCAACUCAGCAAACCAUCUGAGGCAGUCCGUAGAUUCAGUUUGCAACGCAUCAUUCAUUUCUCCAUUUGCACCUCAGCAGCAAGCCUCAUGGCUUCUUCAUUCGAUUUAUUAGAUUCUUUUAAUGUAUGUUUAGAUGCCCCACAUUGCGCUUCAGAUUCAAAAAUUGCUGCAGCCUCUAAACCUAUCUCAGUGGUCGCAAUCCUCAGCACAGCCCGACGAAGAGAAGGUGCCGAUGGAGCCCCUUCUUCAUCUAACGACAAGUUC
This 476-nucleotide long non-coding RNA is filed under the name Nicotiana benthamiana. RNAcentral describes it as "long non-coding RNA (NBEN_LNC039401)". The record is from RNAcentral. Lineage: Eukaryota; Viridiplantae; Streptophyta; Magnoliopsida; Solanales; Solanaceae.